GGUUUGGCCUCGGAUC
Molecule: ribosomal RNA, 16 nt
Filed under: fungal endophyte sp. AP347
Lineage: Eukaryota; Fungi
Also listed under: 1 other name
Description: partial 28S ribosomal RNA
Source: RNAcentral